Long non-coding RNA from Heterocephalus glaber (naked mole-rat), 1787 nucleotides. The record is from Ensembl. NCBI's taxonomy places the organism in Eukaryota, Metazoa, Chordata, Mammalia, Rodentia, Bathyergidae.
AUUUUGCAGAAAAAGUUACCGAAGCUUUAAUGGUACUAGAAGUACCAUGUUUCUGAAUGGUAUGUGGUAGGACCUGGGUUUGAACCUGGAACUUUGGGCUCCACAAUGCCCUCCCUAAGAGGAAGACCGUCACUGCUAAGAGUCUCAAUGUCACUGACUCCUUCCCUGACCUGGUCUAGUUAGAAGUGUCAUACACCUGCUUUUCCUCUCUCUUGACCCUUUAUGUCUCUGGCUGUCAGAAAAAGGAUGCUUGAAGUGAUCUUCCUUGGCCUUGAGGCAGGGAGCACCCAGCACCUCUCAGGGAGGUUUAAAGUCAGGGUACUUCUCUGAAAAUGAGAUGGAUGUUGUGCCUUAUUUCCACAUCUUGGUUCCCCUUCUGACUGUUUUGUGACAUCAGACAACCCCCUUAAUCACUCAAUUUCCUCAUUAGACCAUGUGGAGAGCAAUGCCCCCCCCCCCGACUGUAAGACUGUGAAAGGGCCCAACUCUGGACAAUUUUCUUCGGAUACUCUGGAUGUCAGAUGGGUUUCCUCAGAAGACCUAGGUCCCAUGGAAUGAAUCCUUCCUGACUGAAGGUGCUUGGAGGAUAAGGAUAUUGCUUUGUGGGGAUAUAAGAGAUGGUGGGGAAGUGAGACUUGCCUGAGUGUCUCUCUGCCAUGAAGAAAACUGGCUUUGCUUUAUUGACCAGAGCAGAUGUACUCUUUGAGGAACUCAGCAGGGUAAGUAUGAGUUGGGUAAGAUAUCCUAUCUACCAGCUCCUAGGAUUUUUAUGAGUAGAAGCUCUAACUGCUGACACGUUCCUGGUCAAGAGAAAGCAGAUCCUCACCAUUAUCACCUGUACUUUCUUGGAUUUAUUCCAGUUGCACAUCUCUGAAGUUUUCCUUUUAUUCUGCUUGGACAGCACAUUAGAUGAGAUCAAACGCUGAGAGAGAGACAUAAGCACUGCUUUGGCACUGUUGCUAGAAACUCUUGGGAGAAUGAGCAUUGUGUACCAUUUGCCCAUUGCUUGCCGACUUCAGUAGCAAGAGUCUUCAGAAUGCUCCUGGAUAAACAUAAUCUUUGUGGCCAUACAUUGUUUUAUGAGCUGAGUCUUUAGCUUGGCUGGCUCCUUAAAUGCUGCUGUCUGAUUCUCCAGGCAGCAGAAAACAAGGAAAGAAGAGCUCACCGAGCUUUGUGGAUGGCCAAUUUCACUUGCCAAAGGUGAUGGGGAAUUUACCCUUAUGGAAUUUGCUUAUGACAGAAGAAUUGCUGAUCAACUUAAAUUUCAUUUCUGAUAGAAAGAUGAUGCUGUCUGCAUUUCUUGUACAUUGUUUACAGAAUGUGUGUUUGAUUAUAGGCUAUUUUGAAUAUCCACCAGUCUGAAAGAGUUUCCUGCUGAAAGCAUGACUACUUCCUUACUCAUCGAGUUUCGUUUAUCAUUUAAGGAUGAAUGCCCUCCUAUCCUGUAGCUGAGGUGUGCAAUCAUGGUGUGGACAAUUUUUUUGGAGGGAGUCUGAAGAAACUGUUAUCUAAGAUGGAUUCAUACUGGAAGCAAGAGAGCAAACUGGGAAAAAUGGCCUUAGGCUCUGUGAUUGUCAUUGUGUACAUUAGACAAGACAAUGAAAGUAGAGGAUGAAAUAAGACCUUUCUGGUUGUUCAGAAGGCCUGUGUAGCUUGGCCCCACUUACUGGACAGAGCUUCCUGGAGAGAGUUUUUCGAGAAUGUGGCUUCAUUCCAUAGUAUUGCUUUAUGGUGGCCAUUGGGCAGGGGGAUCUAUCUUCCUGGGAGUUAGUUACAUAAAUAAAGAC